RNAcentral lists this non-coding RNA (88 nucleotides) under Platyophrya macrostoma. The record is from RNAcentral. Lineage: Eukaryota; Ciliophora; Colpodea; Cyrtolophosidida; Platyophryidae.
GUCAUUACUCCCAAUGGCAAGGCCGGAAUCCAUGUGGAACAUUCUUGGGGUGAUGCCCCGACUUUAGCUCACAUACUCGAAUGGGUGA